UAGGGAAUCUUCGGCAAUGGACGGAAGUCUGACCGAGCAACGCCGCGUGAGUGAAGAAGGUUUUCGGAUCGUAAAGCUCUGUUGUUAGAGAAGAACGUUGGUAGGAGUGGAAAAUCUACCAAGUGACGGUAACUAACCAGAAAGGGACGGCUAACUACGUGCCAGCAGCCGCGGUAAUACGUAGGUCCCGAGCGUUGUCCGGAUUUAUUGGGCGUAAAGCGAGCGCAGGCGGUUCUUUAAGUCUGAAGUUAAAGGCAGUGGCUUAACCAUUGUACGCUUUGGAAACUGGAGGACUUGAGUGCAGAAGGGGGGAGUGAAAUUCCAUGUGUAGCGGUAAAAUGCGUAAAUAUAUGGAGGAACACCGGUGGCGAAAGCGGCUCUCUGGUCUGUAACUGACGCUGAGGCUCGAAAGCGUGGGGAGCAAACAGG
This 429-nucleotide ribosomal RNA is filed under the name Bacillota bacterium. RNAcentral describes it as "Firmicutes bacterium partial 16S ribosomal RNA". It matches the Rfam family "Bacterial small subunit ribosomal RNA", at positions 355 to 776 of the family's 1533-position model. Lineage: Bacteria; Bacillati; Bacillota. The record is from RNAcentral.